This 213-nucleotide unclassified non-coding RNA is filed under the name plant metagenome. RNAcentral's name for it is "partial contains small subunit ribosomal RNA, internal transcribed spacer 1, and 5.8S ribosomal RNA". The record is from RNAcentral.
UUUCCGUAGGUGAACCUGCGGAAGGAUCAUUCAUAAUAAGGGUUUUAUGGAACUUUUUUAAAUCCACAUCCAUCUUGUGUGUAAUGUCAGGGUCGAUUUUUCUCUCGCGAGGGCCAGCCCCAACCACCAACUAUACCACAUCUCUUUGUCUGAAACAUAUUAUGUAUAAAACAAUUCAAAAUAAAACUUUCAACAACGGAUCUCUUGGCUCUG